UACGAAGGGGACUAGCGUUGUUCGGAAUUACUGGGCGUAAAGCGCACGUAGGCGGUUUUGUAAGUCAGGGGUGAAAUCCCGGGGCUCAACCUCGGAACUGCCUUUGAUACUGCGAGUCUCGAGUCCGAUAGAGGUGGGUGGAAUUCCUAGUGUAGAGGUGAAAUUCGUAGAUAUUAGGAAGAACACCGGUGGCGAAGGCGGCCCACUGGAUCGGUACUGACGCUGAGGUGCGAAAGCGUGGGGAGCAAACAGG
This 253-nucleotide ribosomal RNA is filed under the name uncultured bacterium. RNAcentral's name for it is "partial 16S ribosomal RNA". It matches the Rfam family "Bacterial small subunit ribosomal RNA", at positions 524 to 776 of the family's 1533-position model. The record is from RNAcentral.